This is a long non-coding RNA of Perca flavescens (yellow perch), 436 nucleotides long. RefSeq lists it as uncharacterized. The record is from RefSeq and is a predicted model, not a curated record. The transcript has 3 exons. Lineage: Eukaryota; Metazoa; Chordata; Actinopteri; Perciformes; Percidae.
GGGGAGAGUUCCAAGAUCCAGUGCAUUUAAAACCUCAACCGGAACCAAAAAUCGACCCGGUUUGUGGGUCGGUAGGCACUCCAGAUACCCAAAUGUAUGUUUACAAGCAUUGAAAAGGGUUAUUGAUUCUCUCCGAGCCGAGCGGGAUCAAGAGCGGGUUUCCCAUAAACGUCGGCGCGGCCACGGCGACAGCAGACAGGGGAAGAGGACAGGCCAUGAAGAGGAUGAUAAUACGCAUACACGUCUGGCGACUGGGGGAUCGUUUUCUUCGACUAACAUCUGUUCUUACUCAGUCUCUGCUCAGGCUACGAGCUGCUUCAUCUCGCACAAAUGCAUCAGAUCCUUUUCUUUAGUUGGAAUGUGUCCCGAGGAGAGAUGUGUUUCAUGCAGUGGUGGAAUGUAACUAAGUACAUUUACUCAAGUUCUGUACUUAAGU